RNAcentral lists this ribosomal RNA (253 nucleotides) under uncultured bacterium. RNAcentral describes it as "partial 16S ribosomal RNA". It matches the Rfam family "Bacterial small subunit ribosomal RNA", at positions 524 to 776 of the family's 1533-position model. The record is from RNAcentral.
GACGGAGGAUGCAAGCGUUAUCCGGAAUUAUUGGGCGUAAAGCGUACGCAGGUGGCUCGACAAGUCUUUUGUUAAAGCGCGAGGCUUAACCUCGUAAAGGCAGAGGAAACUGUUGAGCUAGAGUAUGGUAGGGGCAGGAGGAAUUCCCGGUGUAGCGGUGAAAUGCGUAGAUAUCGGGAAGAACACCAGCGGCGAAAGCGUCCUGCCAAGCCAAAACUGACACUCAUGUACGAAAGCUAGGGGAGCGAAUGGG